This 301-nucleotide ribosomal RNA is filed under the name uncultured bacterium. RNAcentral describes it as "partial 16S ribosomal RNA". It matches the Rfam family "Bacterial small subunit ribosomal RNA", at positions 509 to 807 of the family's 1533-position model. The record is from RNAcentral.
CAGCAGCCACGGGAAUACGAAGGGGGCUAGCGUUGUUCGGAAUUACUGGGCGUAAAGGGCGCGUAGGCGGCCAUUCAUGUUAGAUGUGAAAGCCCUGGGCUCAACCUAGGAAUUGCAUUUGAUACUGUUUGGCUUGAGUCCGGGAGAGGUGAGUGGAAUUCCCAGUGUAGAGGUGAAAUUCGUGGAUAUUGGGAAGAACACCAGUGGCGAAGGCGGCUCACUGGACCGACACUGACGCUGAGGCGCGAAAGCGUGGGGAGCAAACAGGAUUAGAUACCCCGGUAGUCCCUGUCUCUUAUAC